AUGAUUCCACCUUGUCACGUCUUCUUCUUCAAAGUCACGACAUUUCCAAACUUUCUCAAUCUUCCAUCAUAUUACAAACUCCCUUAUGAUAAUCCCAAACCAGCGUUAAAUCCAAACAGAAAAAACAGUUAUCCACACAAUGUCAAGCAUGAUGCAAUUCCCCAAUUAACCAGUGCAACCCUACACACAAAACCUUGCACCAGUUCAGCCCUGCACAUAACAAAUGAGCUAGCCUUGCUUUUCACUAACCGAAAAUAA
This 258-nucleotide long non-coding RNA is filed under the name Vicia faba (fava bean). The record is from RNAcentral. Lineage: Eukaryota; Viridiplantae; Streptophyta; Magnoliopsida; Fabales; Fabaceae.